This 4055-nucleotide ribosomal RNA is filed under the name Triticum aestivum (bread wheat). RNAcentral's name for it is "partial small subunit ribosomal RNA". Lineage: Eukaryota; Viridiplantae; Streptophyta; Magnoliopsida; Poales; Poaceae. The record is from RNAcentral.
UCGGCUUUGGUAAGGGGUGGGCGUGGGUUUGGGUUGGUUGCCGGUGGUACCGUCGUGGCGGCGGCGGCGGCGGCCGCGAGGGCCUGCUGCAGCAGCAGCUUCUCUAGGAGGAGGCGGAGGGCGGGCUGCUGGGUCCAACAGAGAAGGCGCGGAGGGAGCAGACGUUCCGGACCUCCUUGCGGCAGAGGGUAGGGGCGAAGGCGGCGGCGAUGUAGCCCGAGGUGGCGGUGGCCCGUGGGGGGCACGAGCCGAAGGAGGUGCUGACCCUUCUGCCCCCGUAGGGUCUGAAGAAGGGGUGGUGGCGGAGCGGGAAGAGGGAGCGGCGAGGUCUGGCGGCCAAGACCGCGGGGCAGCUGACGGCGGUACCGGCGCGGGAGAAGGAGAGGCUGGCGGCGGUCCUUUGAGUCCUUGAGGAGAACACCCUCGGUUAGUGCCCGCGGGCAGCCCCGUAUGGCCACGGGCGCCGCAAGUCCACGGUCACCGGCCGGCGCCGUCACAAGACGUGUCGCCUGACCACGCUGGUGGCGCUGACACGUCCUCCAGGGAAGCCGCACCAGAAGGAGAAGCGGCCGCUUGUUCUGGCCGUGCAACAGUGUAGCCGCACGAACAUGAGCAGCCUCUGACCGUGUACCCCGUUCGACUUGAGCUCCGUUCUACUCAAGUGGUACCUUAAAGUCUUGGUAAGGUCGCACGACCAACCCUCCAGAGACGAGAUGAAGGACAGGCUGCCACCCUGCUAGGACCUCAUGUUAAACCUGUCACCACAUGACCGACACAACCUAUCUGGUGGACUGCUAAUGCCGUCCCCGGCGGUUUCUAAAUUGGAGUACGACCGCCUCCUACCACCUGACCCCCAACGGCUUCGGUAACUAAAAGUCGAGUAUAACACCUUUUCCCUCCGCUCACUACCGUGACUACGUGCUACCCACGACUCGGCCUAGCAGCUGUACCUGUCAAAGAAGCUGGGUCAGUGUGAACGAGGUCACAACCCGAAACGCCUCCCUCGUUUACGAUAAAAACAAUUUUGAUAAAUAUCGGAGAAGUACCAACUCGAUGUCAGCCUCGUCCGCUUUUAACACACAAGAUCAGGACCAAAGACAUUAAACUAAGGUCAACAGCCGAAGAUGUGAGGUGUAAGAUCCGAGGUUCACGGGCCACCACUUGUGGUGUCGGGUCGCGGUACCGACUUUGUUGACCCUUCCCCACCAGUCGUUCCCCAGACCCUCCUCUUUAGUGAUCUUACCCGCGUCCACGACAAACUACUCCCCACGUACCGAUAGUUACUCUUCCUGAACCGGAUGUGCCGACUGACGAAGUCUGUACAAGAGCUCUAGUCCCAAGCUGUAAUACCUCCGGAACGAGGACUCACACGAUUGUGCAAAAUGGUAAUACCUCCACGGAACAAUACGUUUCGAGCCCUCCGUCGGUUAGCAAGUCCAUUACAAAGUUUCGCACGUGGUUUACUUCUUCCAUACGAAAUAGUAAAUAUAGUGAAAGUGGUGAUAUCCAACUUUAUAUAGUGACAUAAAACGUAACAAGAAGUCCAAAUACCUUACCAGAGAAUCUCUUUUGACGUCCUAAUCAACUGGGGUGUUGAAAUUGUACCGUGACGAUGACGGGAUCUGUGAGUAUAUGUGACUUUCCGUAAUAAUAGGAAAAAUUUAGAUAUAUGACAUCAUAGAUGAGGGAGGCAGACCUUUAUGAACAGUAGUUUUAUCUACUUUUACCUACAUAGAUGUUGAUUUUAUGUAGAUCUAUGUAGGUAAAGUUACUGUUCAUAAAGGCCUGCCUCCCUCAUCAACUAUCGUGAUGACCAACGUUAUUCAAGAGUAACAGACAAGUACGGAUUACUUCUCAUAUGGAUUAUUUGAAGAAUAGUCAUUAAACGGGUACGGUUACGUUUCAUGAUUAUCAAACCCUGAACCUUACAAAAGUAAUUAUAAUAUACUAGUGUCAUAUGAUUCACUCAACCUAGAACAUGCGUAAACACACGUAGAUAACGACAAAUAAAGGAGAACCCGACACACGUAGGAGCUAAGUCUCCGGGCCUUAUUAUUUUGAGAAGGUAAAAGAUUUCCUUUUUUACAAAAAGAAGAAAGUUACCAUGCACGAUUAUAUCAACAACAACCAAUCCCUGUUUGAACGCACCGUUUCCAGUCUGCCUACCCUUGUACUGUCCGCUACCUCUACUAAGACAAAACCUAAACCGGACCUUUUACAACUUAUGACGUUCCCACUAUCAACGGUUCUCAGGUCUCUUCUGUUACCUCUUCCAAUUAUAUAACUUACGAGAUCGACUUUAGAGGUACUGUUCUCUCCUGUCUCUGUUUAGUUAGCCAAUGAUGAAGCUUCGAAAUCGCUAGAACCUUGUAAACCAACCCGGACUGGUAAAAGCUUAACAGCUAGAUUUGGAGGCGUAUCCAAACCGUAGGUUCCAACCUCUACGUUAGUCUAUAUCAUGUUUCCGAUAAAGUAAUACGUACAGCGUAUAUGUAUUAGACCUUUAACGGUUCCUUCGAAACAACCGACUAUAUGUAUUAGACUUUUAACGGUUCCUUCGAAACAACCGACUAUAUGUAUUAGACUUUUAACGGUUCCUUCGAAACAACCGACUAUUUCUGGAAUCUCGUAGACGACGAUUUCCUGUGAGUCCUUUCAGCUGAGACCUUCUACUAUAUAGAAUGGAACGAUCUUACAGCAGAGCUCAGGUCUUCUUCGAACUUCUUGACUUCGUUCGUUACGGUUGGGGUUCGCUGCCGUACCUAUUAUAAUACUUCUCCCACCAGAGUGUCCGUUCAGUACUCGUCUUACAAUUCUUAUGAUACCGUUCUUGACGUAGAAACUGAACAAGUGUCUACUGUGCUAGUUUGUUGUCAAAGGUAAGGGGUUGAUACAGUUGCCGUCGUGGUUCUCCUUCGUGACCUUCAUCGCAUUGGUUGAAACUCUAACAACCGUCUCUGUACUUUGCUCGAUUUCUACUCAGCUAGAGGAUGCUUGGAAGAGGUUUCUCUGAACGCUUUGGUAAAACCUGCAAUGACAUCAUCAUGAAGAAUUCGUUUUGAGUAUGAGGGAGGCAGGGUUUUAAGAACAGAAUCUAAACAGAUUUAUGCCUACAUAGUUCAGUUCAAAAUCAUAAUCUAUGUAGAUAUAGAUCUGUUUAGAAUUCUGUUCUUAAAACCCUGACUCCCUCAUAAUUAAAUAAUAUAAAACGGACGGAACUAACUAGUCGAUCAUCAUGAAGAAUCUAUGAAGAAUCUAUAUCAAAAACGUUCAGUCACUAGUAAAUUCUUUGUAAAUAACAGAUCCACAACGUAGUCAACGUUACUUUGUAAACUUAAAAGAUGACAAACUUCUUACAAGAUAAGAACGAUUAAGACUCUCCGUCCGAUCAUCACUACUAAUUAUAAAAAAAAAGAAACGCUUACCUUCAAUUUGUUAAUCAAUAGUCUUUUGAUCUUACAACGUUUAUGAUCUACGUAAACGUCUAAUGUGUAAUGUAACAACGUUCGCUCGAGUCUAGAGAUUGUAAUUGACCGUCUGACUCGUUUGUUUACAUGAUCUCCGGCCUCUUCUACCGCCGGUUCCUACAUCCACUCCCGGUGUCGUAGGAUGACGUGUAGGCCUAGUAGAGAGUCCACUCUUCAGACCUGUUCCGUUCGGCAUCUACCCGAGCAGCCGCUGGCCGAGGAGUCCGAGACCCAGACCGACGCAAGGGAGGAGGUAGGCCACCACAAACAGCAAGGGGAGGCGCCACUACGAGACGCGCUUGGGCCACCGAAGGAGGCCGUGUUGGUGAACUAUAUUCGGAGAAAACCUCUUCGAAGUCGUAAGUCGCCUCCGGACUGUAAUGGGGUAGACUUCGGAAAAGGAUGUUGGGGUUCUAAUAAAUGUGAUGAAGAUCCGAAGACAACAACGGUAAACUCAACGGGGGAUUGGUUGCUGAUACAGUCACAAGAACAAUUUACUUAGCCAGAUAAAAGUACUAGUACGAUAUUACUAAUAAAAAGGCAUUAAAUACAUACUGUCCCAACGACGAGAACACAUCAAUUUCGAUC